AUUGAACGCUGGCGGCAUGCCUUACACAUGCAAGUCGAACGGUAACGGGCCUUCGGGUGCCGACGAGUGGCGAACGGGUGAGUAAUACAUCGGAACGUGCCCGAUCGUGGGGGAUAACGAGGCGAAAGCUUUGCUAAUACCGCAUACGAUCUACGGAUGAAAGCAGGGGACCGCAAGGCCUUGCGCGGACGGAGCGGCCGAUGGCAGAUUAGGUAGUUGGUGGGAUAAAAGCUUACCAAGCCGACGAUCUGUAGCUGGUCUGAGAGGAUGAUCAGCCACACUGGGACUGAGACACGGCCCAGACUCCUACGGGAGGCAGCAGUGGGGAAUUUUGGACAAUGGGCGCAAGCCUGAUCCAGCCAUGCCGCGUGCAGGAUGAAGGCCUUCGGGUUGUAAACUGCUUUUGUACGGAACGAAAAGCCUUCUUUUAAUACAGGAGGGUCAUGACGGUACCGUAAGAAGAAGCACCGGCUAACUACGU
Molecule: ribosomal RNA, 481 nt
Filed under: uncultured bacterium
Lineage: Bacteria
Description: partial 16S ribosomal RNA
Rfam family: Bacterial small subunit ribosomal RNA
Source: RNAcentral